RNAcentral lists this ribosomal RNA (254 nucleotides) under uncultured bacterium. RNAcentral describes it as "partial 16S ribosomal RNA". It matches the Rfam family "Bacterial small subunit ribosomal RNA", at positions 524 to 776 of the family's 1533-position model. The record is from RNAcentral.
UACGUAGGGCGCAAGCGUUGUCCGGAAUUAUUGGGCGUAAAGAGCUCGUAGGCGGCUUGUCACGUCGGGGUGUGAAAGCCCGGGGCUUAACCCCGGGUCUGCAUUCGAUACGGGCUGGCUAGAGUGUGGUAGGGGAGAUCGGAAUUCCUGGUGUAGCGGUGAAAUGCGCAGAUAUCAGGAGGAACACCGGUGGCGAAGGCGGCGUCCUGGACCAACACUGACACUGAUGAGCGAAAGCCAGGGGAGCAAACGGG